RNAcentral lists this ribosomal RNA (512 nucleotides) under uncultured bacterium. Its description in RNAcentral is "partial 16S ribosomal RNA". It matches the Rfam family "Bacterial small subunit ribosomal RNA", at positions 28 to 523 of the family's 1533-position model. The record is from RNAcentral.
GAUGAACGCUGGCGGCAUGCCUAAUACAUGCAAGUCGAACGAUAGGAAGGAAAGCUUGCUUUUCUGAAUCUAGUGGCGAACGGGUGAGUAACACGUAGGUAACCUGCCCAUGUGCCCGGGAUAACUUCUGGAAACGGAUGCUAAAACCGGAUAGGUAGCAGACAAGCAUUUGACUGCUAUUAAAGUGGCUAAGGCCAUGAACAUGGAUGGACCUGCGGUGCAUUAGCUAGUUGGUGAGGUAACGGCCCACCAAGGCGACGAUGCAUAGCCGGCCUGAGAGGGCGGACGGCCACAUUGGGACUGAGACACGGCCCAAACUCCUACGGGAGGCAGCAGUAGGGAAUUUUCGUCAAUGGGGGGAACCCUGAACGAGCAAUGCUGCGUGAGUGAGGAAGGUCUUCGGAUCGUAAAGCUCUGUUGUAAGAGAAAAACGACAUUCAUAGGGAAUGAUGAGUGAGUGAUGGUAUCUUACCAGAAAGUCACGGCUAACUACGUGCCAGCAGCCGCCGUAA